Long non-coding RNA from Pogoniulus pusillus (Red-fronted tinkerbird), 1657 nucleotides. RefSeq lists it as uncharacterized. The record is from RefSeq and is a predicted model, not a curated record. Lineage: Eukaryota; Metazoa; Chordata; Aves; Piciformes; Lybiidae. The transcript is spliced from 2 exons.
CGUCUGAGACACAGAGUCGCCUUUGCAGUUGGCAUGUUUUCAGGAUGAUAAAAGCUUCCAUGCCAAACUUUUUUUAUCUUUUUUUCUUUUUUUUUUGGAUAGCAGAGUGGGAAAAUGUAGCUUCCAAGCUGUAAGAAGUAGCUGUGCCAGAGGAGAGGGCAGGGGCCCGACCCAGCAGCUCUAGAGGAAGCAAGCAGCAGCACUGGUGCAGCUGAAACCAACCCAAGGUGAUUUCCUGCAGAUGUAGCAGGAGCAGCCACAGGGAACCUGAAGAAAUGCAACAGCAUGCAAAUGUGAGCUGCCUGAUGGUUUUGGAAGCAGAUGAGCUUGGCACCACUAAACCCUCCCACAUGUUGCUCCAGAGAGGGGUGAGACAAUUCACCUGCUACAGCCUUUGUCUCUGAGCACAAAGCCACGUGUCCCUACCCUGAAACUUGGGUCUCACUGUAGCCUUUUUGGGGCAGCCUUUGUCUAUUGCUUUCACUGCCCUUGGUAGCUGUCCUGUCAGGAUGUGUUGUCAUCUUGCUGUAUCCUGGCCUUUUCCACAGUGCUCAAGGUCUGAGUCACCCUUACCCACAGUCACUCCAUCGGAGCCCUUUCUCUGAACAUGCAAUCCUACUCAUGCUCUUCACAUCCUGACCUUUCACCACUUACUAAUCCCAGGAGGUCUCUACCUCUUAUCCCAUGGCAGCUCAGUUUCUUUAAGAGCUUUUGGGCAUUCUUUAAGUGCUUAAGAGCAUUGCCACAUGCCAUUUGGAAAUCCACAUAAAGCCUGAUUAAUUGUAUCACCCUCAUCUCCAUACUUACCGUUUCACUGCAAGGGAAAAUCACACUCUGCAGUGCUAACUCUUCCCAACAUGGCAAUUAUCUGGGCAUCUGCUGAUUCUGCUCUGAACUGUGGCUUGCUUCAGUGUGGGGCAUUAAACCUGGCUUUAUGCUUUCACUUUGAUGAGCAAUUUAAUCCUGUUUGGCCAUUUUCCCUGUGAAAGGUGGCACUGCCUCCUGGGAGCUGCAGAGCUGCAAUCCAGGGUGGAAGCAGCACUGAGGUGGGGUGGCAUCUGGGGACCUGGCCUGGAACACCAACAGCUUGGCCAUAGGGCAGAGGAAAAUACUUGAACUGCAAAUCCUGACUUCUCUGGUUUCUUGAAGCUGUUGGGAUGUCUCACAUGUGGUGGUGAAAGGAGAGCAUGUGAACAGUGCUGAGCAGGCCACUGGUUCUGCUGCUUAUCAGUCGUCUGGGCUGGGCUUCUCACUCAGAGUGUGUGAAAAAGCAGUACCUUCAUCCACAGCAAAAAAAAGAAAAAGGGUUGCAGUUGCUAAGCGUGAAAUUAUGUAACAAAGUUAGACUUGUGGUAAAAAAGCUAAAUAUUUAAGGGUGAUAAGAUACACAGAUAGGACAAAAAUUCGUUACAUGCUAAAGGAAGCGUUUCCAAAACGACACAAAAAUAAAUGGUUGCUGUCAGUUCCCUGAGGACAGUCCCCUGGUGCCUGAGCAGCCAGAGUCAUAGUGUACAGUUUUGUGGUUUCUCUCCACCCAGUCUAGAUGCCUCACUGGGUGCAGAAGCUCCAGCAAACCAAACUGGAACCAGCAUCAAGAGCUAUGUUGCUGAUGGAGCUCUGUUGGCUCAGCAGCAGGGUGGAGAUUUUUGUGGUGGCU